RNAcentral lists this ribosomal RNA (446 nucleotides) under uncultured organism. RNAcentral describes it as "partial 16S ribosomal RNA". It matches the Rfam family "Bacterial small subunit ribosomal RNA", at positions 335 to 797 of the family's 1533-position model. The record is from RNAcentral.
ACUCCUACGGGAGGCAGCAGUGGGGAAUAUUGGACAAUGGGCGCAAGCCUGAUCCAGCCAUGCCGCGUGAGUGAUGAAGGCCCUAGGGUUGUAAAGCUCUUUCACCGGAGAAGAUAAUGACGGUAUCCGGAGAAGAAGCCCCGGCUAACUUCGUGCCAGCAGCCGCGGUAAUACGAAGGGGGCUAGCGUUGUUCGGAAUUACUGGGCGUAAAGCGCACGUAGGCGGAUCGAUCAGUCAGGGGUGAAAUCCCAGGGCUCAACCCUGGAACUGCCUUUGAUACUGUCGAUCUGGAGUAUGGAAGAGGUGAGUGGAAUUCCGAGUGUAGAGGUGAAAUUCGUAGAUAUUCGGAGGAACACCAGUGGCGAAGGCGGCUCACUGGUCCAUUACUGACGCUGAGGUGCGAAAGCGUGGGGAGCAAACAGGAUUAGAUACCCUAGUAGUCCCA